Molecule: microRNA, 22 nt
Filed under: Oreochromis niloticus (Nile tilapia)
Lineage: Eukaryota; Metazoa; Chordata; Actinopteri; Cichliformes; Cichlidae
Description: oni-miR-10659
Source: miRBase by way of RNAcentral
AGAGGCGUCCUGGAGAGGUAGA